RNAcentral lists this microRNA precursor (137 nucleotides) under Prunus persica (peach). RNAcentral's name for it is "miR167b stem-loop (ppe-MIR167b)". Its record names the gene ppe-MIR167b. The stretch from base 21 to 116 matches the Rfam family "MIR167 microRNA precursor family". Lineage: Eukaryota; Viridiplantae; Streptophyta; Magnoliopsida; Rosales; Rosaceae. The record is from miRBase by way of RNAcentral.
GGUUUUGCUUGCUUCUCGUGGACCACCAGCAGUUGAAGCUGCCAGCAUGAUCUAAACUUCCCUUUUGGCCAGUUGAGGAAAGAUCAGAUCAUGUGGUAGCUUCACCUGUUGACGGGAUCACGAAAACGAACUUUACU